Non-coding RNA from Acanthosepion pharaonis, 110 nucleotides. The record is from the annotation of a GenBank genome assembly. NCBI's taxonomy places the organism in Eukaryota, Metazoa, Mollusca, Cephalopoda, Sepiida, Sepiidae.
AUGGCCAUAUCAUGUUGAAACACCAGUUCUUGUAUGAUCACAGGAGUUAAGCAAUGUCGAGCUUGGUCAGUACAUAGAUGGGUGACCAUUUGGGAAUACCAGUUCCUGUA